This 232-nucleotide ribosomal RNA is filed under the name uncultured bacterium. RNAcentral's name for it is "partial 16S ribosomal RNA". It matches the Rfam family "Bacterial small subunit ribosomal RNA", at positions 100 to 334 of the family's 1533-position model. The record is from RNAcentral.
CGGGACGGGUGAGUAAUGUCUGGGAAACUGCCUGAUGGAGGGGGAUAACUACUGGAAACGGUAGCUAAUACCGCAUAACGUCGCAAGACCAAAGAGGGGACCUUCGGGCCUCUUGCCAUCGGAUGUGCCCAGAUGGGAUUAGCUAGUAGGUGGGGUAACGGCUCACCUAGGCGACGAUCCCUAGCUGGUCUGAGAGGAUGGCCAGCCACACUGGAACUGAGACACGGUCCAG